Molecule: ribosomal RNA, 427 nt
Filed under: uncultured Burkholderiaceae bacterium
Lineage: Bacteria; Pseudomonadati; Pseudomonadota; Betaproteobacteria; Burkholderiales; Burkholderiaceae
Also listed under: 1 other name
Description: bacterial SSU rRNA
Rfam family: Bacterial small subunit ribosomal RNA
Source: RNAcentral
UGGGGAAUUUUGGACAAUGGGGGCAACCCUGAUCCAGCAAUGCCGCGUGUGUGAAGAAGGCCUUCGGGUUGUAAAGCACUUUUGUCCGGAAAGAAAACGCCGUGGUUAAUACCCGUGGCGGAUGACGGUACCGGAAGAAUAAGCACCGGCUAACUACGUGCCAGCAGCCGCGGUAAUACGUAGGGUGCAAGCGUUAAUCGGAAUUACUGGGCGUAAAGCGUGCGCAGGCGGUCCGCUAAGACAGAUGUGAAAUCCCCGGGCUUAACCUGGGAACUGCAUUUGUGACUGGCGGGCUAGAGUAUGGCAGAGGGGGGUAGAAUUCCACGUGUAGCAGUGAAAUGCGUAGAGAUGUGGAGGAAUACCGAUGGCGAAGGCAGCCCCCUGGGCCAAUACUGACGCUCAUGCACGAAAGCGUGGGGAGCAAACA